This is a long non-coding RNA of Corvus hawaiiensis (hawaiian crow), 314 nucleotides long. RefSeq lists it as uncharacterized. The transcript has 2 exons. NCBI's taxonomy places the organism in Eukaryota, Metazoa, Chordata, Aves, Passeriformes, Corvidae. The record is from RefSeq and is a predicted model, not a curated record.
AGAUUUCUACAAGGGGACCUGGAGCUGGGGAAUGAAGAAACCUCUUAUGUUGCCACAUAUUAGCAGGACCUUGAGCGCUGACACAAAGGGAAUAUAAAGUGGAUCAGCUGUAAAAUAACUGCCUCUGGAAUGGAGAGUGUUGCUGAUGGCUUUGCCAUGUGUGCUGAACCUGCAGUCUCCUGUAUAGCCCUGAAGGUAACACCCAUCUCAGGGACACAGUGGGACACAAGAGUUUGCUGGGGAAAGAACGGGACUUUUCCUUUCCAAGUAAAAGUACUUUUAUGAGGAAUUAAAACCAGUGACUAAUUUAUCCA